Non-coding RNA from Platichthys flesus (European flounder), 495 nucleotides. The record is from the annotation of a RefSeq genome assembly. Lineage: Eukaryota; Metazoa; Chordata; Actinopteri; Pleuronectiformes; Pleuronectidae.
AGUUCAAUCUACAAAGCACCAACAUCUCCUGGAUUCAACAUGCUCUCACUGCAUCAGGCUCUAUCUUCUCUACUGCUUCUCUCCACUCUAACAGGUGUCAGCUGUGAUGAACUGACUCCAGACCAGACUGCAGAGUUCAGUGUAGAAGGCAGCACUGUUACUCUGUCCUACAAUUUCUCCAGGACAAUAACUGGUAAUGAUUAUUUCUUCUGGUAUCGACAGAAUCCAGGACGAGCUCCAGAGUUCCUCCUUUACAUCUCAGGGUUGAAUGUGACAAGAAGGUCUGAUUCUCUGAAGUCAGAAACAAGGUUCUUCUCUCACCUGUCUGGAAUUGAUGUCAAACUGCAGAUCUCCUCUGCUGCAGUGACAGACUCUGCUGUGUACUACUGUGCUGUGAGGCCCACAGUGACAGGAAACUACACAACUCUGUACAAAAACCUGUGGACCAAACACACAACUCCUCAUCCUCCACUAGAGGGAGUCACUCACUAUUAA